This 452-nucleotide ribosomal RNA is filed under the name uncultured Sphingobacterium sp. RNAcentral's name for it is "partial 16S ribosomal RNA". It matches the Rfam family "Bacterial small subunit ribosomal RNA", at positions 341 to 792 of the family's 1533-position model. The record is from RNAcentral. Lineage: Bacteria; Pseudomonadati; Bacteroidota; Sphingobacteriia; Sphingobacteriales; Sphingobacteriaceae.
ACGGAAGGCAGCAGUGAGGAAUAUUGGUCAAUGGGCGUAAGCCUGAACCAGCCAUGCCGCGUGCAGGAUGACGGCCUUAUGGGUUGUAAACUGCUUUUGUUCGGGACGAGAAUGAGCACGUGUGCUCAAAUGACGGUACCGGAGGAAUAAGCGCCGGUUAACUCCGUGCCAGCAGCCGCGGUAAUACGGAGGGUGCAAGCGUUAUCCGGAUUUAUUGGGUUUAAAGGGUGCGUAGACGGUCUGGUAAGUCAGCGGUGAAUUUGGCCCGCUCAACGGGACAAUUGCCAUUGAUACUGUCGGACUAGAAUGCGAUCGGCGUCGGAGGAAUGCGACAAGUAGCGGUGAAAUGCUUAGAUAUGUCGCAGAACACCGAUAGCGAAGGCAUCCGAUGAGGUCGCAUUGACGUUCAGGCACGAAAGCGUGGGGAUCGAACAGGAUUAGAUACCCUGGUA